GUACUCUUAGAAGCUGAUUUGGAAGGUAUUCUAACCUGAGCGAGAGUGCGAACGAGCCUUGGAUCGUCGUGAGCUGACUUGUGAGAGCUCUUGGAGACUUAUCUUGAGCAGCAUUGGGGCUUCGUUAAGACGAUUUUGGGACCUCUUUUGGACUGCUUGGAGCUUAGUAAUAGGUGGGUCGGACCUAACCAGAGCAAGUGAAGCUCCUCUAUGUUCUAUAUGUAUUAUAGAAAUGUGUUAGUUGUGUGCUUAUGUGAUAGCUAAAGGGCUUGAGAAUUCGUCAUCAUAACAUUUACUAUAUUGACAUAGAAUCUCUAUGAAGUAGAGAAUCCUCACGCCUAAAUGUAUUCAUAUUCCUGUUUGGUUUAGUUGAAUAACAAUG
Molecule: long non-coding RNA, 382 nt
Organism: Ananas comosus (pineapple)
Lineage: Eukaryota; Viridiplantae; Streptophyta; Magnoliopsida; Poales; Bromeliaceae
Exons: 3
Source: RefSeq, a predicted model, not a curated record